CGCGUAGGCGGUCUCUUAAGUCAGAUGUGAAAGCCCGGGGCUUAACCUCGGAAGUGCAUUUGAAACUAAGGGACUUGAGUAUGGGAGAGGGAAGUGGAAUUCCUGGUGUAGCGGUGAAAUGCGUAGAUAUCAGGAGGAACACCGGUGGCGAAGGCGACUUCCUGGACCAAUACUGACGCUGAGGCGCGAAGGCGUGGGGAGCAAACAGGAUUAGAUACCCUGGUAGUCC
Molecule: ribosomal RNA, 229 nt
Filed under: uncultured bacterium
Lineage: Bacteria
Description: partial 16S ribosomal RNA
Rfam family: Bacterial small subunit ribosomal RNA
Source: RNAcentral